RNAcentral lists this microRNA precursor (61 nucleotides) under Sphenodon punctatus (tuatara). RNAcentral describes it as "Spt-Mir-155-P3_pre stem-loop". It matches the Rfam family "mir-155 microRNA precursor family". Lineage: Eukaryota; Metazoa; Chordata; Lepidosauria; Sphenodontia; Sphenodontidae. The record is from RNAcentral.
UUAAUGCUAAUCGUGAUAGGGGUUUUUAUUUUUAACUGACUCCUACAUAUUAGCAUUAGCA